RNAcentral lists this ribosomal RNA (253 nucleotides) under uncultured bacterium. RNAcentral's name for it is "partial 16S ribosomal RNA". It matches the Rfam family "Bacterial small subunit ribosomal RNA", at positions 524 to 776 of the family's 1533-position model. The record is from RNAcentral.
UACGUAGGUGGCAAGCGUUGUCCGGAAUUAUUGGGCGUAAAGCGCGUGUAGGCGGUCCGGUAAGUCGGUUGUGAAAGUCCAGGGCUCAACCCUGGGAUGCCGACCGAUACUGUCGGACUAGAGUUCGGAAGAGGCGAGUGGAAUUCCCGGUGUAGCGGUGAAAUGCGCAGAUAUCGGGAGGAACACCUAUGGCGAAGGCAGCUCGCUGGGACGUUACUGACGCUGAGACGCGAAAGCGUGGGGAGCAAACAGG